This 245-nucleotide ribosomal RNA is filed under the name uncultured bacterium. RNAcentral describes it as "partial 16S ribosomal RNA". It matches the Rfam family "Bacterial small subunit ribosomal RNA", at positions 524 to 768 of the family's 1533-position model. The record is from RNAcentral.
GACGAAGGUUGCGAGCGUUGUUCGGAAUCACUGGGCUUAAAGCGCACGUAGGCGGUCUGUCAAGCGCUUUGUGAAAUCCCUCGGCUCAACCGAGGAACUGCUUGGCGAACUGGCAGACUUGAGGCAGGUAUGGGCGCGUGGAACUCUUGGUGGAGCGGUGAAAUGCGUAGAUAUCAAGAGGAACGCCGGCGGUGAAGACGGCGCGCUGGGCUUGUCCUGACGCUGAGGUGCGAAAGCCAGGGGAG